This 497-nucleotide ribosomal RNA is filed under the name uncultured bacterium. Its description in RNAcentral is "partial 16S ribosomal RNA". It matches the Rfam family "Bacterial small subunit ribosomal RNA", at positions 28 to 507 of the family's 1533-position model. The record is from RNAcentral.
GAUGAACGCUGGCGGCGUGCCUAAUACAUGCAAGUCGAGCGAACGGACGAGAAGCUUGCUUCUCUGAUGUUAGCGGCGGACGGGUGAGUAACACGUGGAUAACCUACCUAUAAGACUGGGAUAACUUCGGGAAACCGGAGCUAAUACCGGAUAAUAUUUUGAACCGCAUGGUUCAAAAGUGAAAGACGGUCUUGCUGUCACUUAUAGAUGGAUCCGCGCUGCAUUAGCUAGUUGGUAAGGUAACGGCUUACCAAGGCAACGAUGCAUAGCCGACCUGAGAGGGUGAUCGGCCACACUGGAACUGAGACACGGUCCAGACUCCUACGGGAGGCAGCAGUUGGGAAUCUUCGGCAAUGGGCGAAAGCCUGACGGAGCAACGCCGCGUGAGUGAUGAAGGUCUUCGGAUCGUAAAACUCUGUUAUUAGGGAAGAACAUAUGUGUAAGUAACUGUGCACAUCUUGACGGUACCUAAUCAGAAAGCCACGGCUAACUACGUG